Erinaceus europaeus (western European hedgehog) is the source of this 300-nucleotide unclassified non-coding RNA. Its record names the gene 7SK. It matches the Rfam family "7SK RNA". From Rfam's summary of the family: 7SK was discovered as an abundant small nuclear RNA in the mid-70s but a possible function has only recently been suggested. Two independent studies have found that 7SK RNA binds the CDK9/cyclin T complex (known as elongation factor P-TEFb). P-TEFb activates transcription by phosphorylating the C-terminal domain of RNA polymerase II. The record is from Ensembl. NCBI's taxonomy places the organism in Eukaryota, Metazoa, Chordata, Mammalia, Eulipotyphla, Erinaceidae.
UGAUCCGUUUUUUCACACAUCUGUCACCCCAUUGAUUGCCAGGGUUGAUGUGGCUGUUCUGGCUGGCUAGGCUAGUGUCCCUUUCCUCCCUGUGGGUCGCUCCCAAAGCUGUGCACUUGAUCCAAGAGGACCACAUUUCCAGAAUAAAAACUGGCUUUUGGUAAAGGGUAUAUGAAUACCUGUACUCCCCUGCUAGAACUUAAAGACAAGUUCUCAGGGCUCACUAUUUCAGGUCAACAUUUAUAGGUAGAGAGAAAGGGGUUGAGAGAGAGAGAGAGAAGCGUCAUAGUGUGGAAACUU